UUUGACGUCAUCACGCCGUUGCGUAGUUAUGUCACGUCUGUAAACAGAAAGAAGAAGAGUCGACUACUAUAUCAUACGUGUGGGGGCUGUUGAACGGUGGAGUGGUUGUAGCUUGUUCUUACAACAGUUGGUUAGAAUUUAAACUUGUUAUCUAGAUAGUUGCUUUUAAUCUGCACAGUUCUAAACACAAUCAUUGUUGACAUGUGUAGAAUCACCUGUUGUCAAAACCUAGAAACCUCGAACUGCAGAGAGCCUGAAUUCAAAAGGGGAAAGGGACAGAGCCCAUGCUAAAACGAGAACAAUAUUGGCAUGGCUUUUGAGAAGUGGCAACAACUCUGAGAUCUGAAGGGAUUGAAGACUGAUGCAGAGAUGGCUUUUUUCUGCUGAACAGACAACCAGAAGCAGAAGUGCCCUUUCAUCUUCCCUACCUCCUCACCCAGAACUGUGAUGCAGGCCGAGCAUCUGACACACACCACCAGAUGGCCUGAGAGUCUGCAAUGGACACACACUAGUGAACAUGGAGGGAGAAGCAAAAGUAUAGAGAGUGACGGAUGAGUGGGAAGAACUCUUGAAAAAGGCAGGAUAUUGGCACUUAUUGGAGGAUAACACUGGCGAGGUUUAAAAGGAGGAUGCAUUUUAUUGCUUGCCAAACUGAUUCCCAAAAUAUGAGCUGUUUAUUACUCACCUCUGCAAAGAUAAAUAGAACAAGUGUGUCUACACGGUUCCAAUACAUACAUUUAUUAUUGGCUUUUUUUAUAUUACUUGCUUGGUAUUCACCUAACAAAGACAGGGCUUCAUCAGAAUAUAAAUGCUAGGCUAUAUCUGCUAACCCUAGGAUGACUUUUUCUGUGAGGAGAUGUUUGCUUAGCAUUUUUAGAUGGAGUAUCCAGUGUCAGCACUUUGCAACAGUCAGUUCCUUUCAUUUUUCUGACACUGGAUGGAAGUUUCUGGCAGUUUCUCAGUACCAUUUUUGUCUCAUAAACUUCAAGAGAGCGAAAAAGAGUGCCUAGUGAGGGUUUGUAGCUGCUAUUACAUGAGUGAUAACGGAAACUAAUUUGUUUCACAGGUGCUCCACAACAAUGACUGUAGCUAUUAACAAAUAAAAAUGAUGUAUCUUUCUAGCCUUGAUAAAUUGCUAUGAUACAAAGGGAAUAAAACACUUCCAGACAUGCCAUUAUUGGAAAACAAUCAACUUCAGGGUGGUAAGAGUAACUCUUCUUCAUGUCAGGCCGUAUCACAAAACCCCUUAUUCAGGAUUUUGAAUCGGUUGCUAAAUUGUAUCACAGAAUAAAUUUAAUAAGGUUUAACAUUAAAAGGAGGGUCCAAACAGAUGAUAGACAGGGAAGACCAAAAUGAGCGCUGAAUUGUGGUUUAGACCACAUUAACAUUAGGUCAGAGAAGCUUUGAUAAAUCCCACUGAAAUCCGAAGGACUCUGUUUCUUUAGUCUUGAGAAGACUAAAAGCUGCAGCAAGGACAGGAGUUCUACCACUCUAGUGUUCUGGAGAGUCACAGAGAGAUCCAAUUAUUCUCUGUAGUCUGGGAUGUGUGCGUUUGAAAAUAUUUGCAUCAUAGUAUUGCUCAGAUUAAAAGAAUUUUUGAUCAGUAA
Molecule: long non-coding RNA, 1607 nt
Organism: Ictalurus punctatus (channel catfish)
Lineage: Eukaryota; Metazoa; Chordata; Actinopteri; Siluriformes; Ictaluridae
Exons: 2
Source: RefSeq, a predicted model, not a curated record